RNAcentral lists this ribosomal RNA (497 nucleotides) under uncultured bacterium. RNAcentral describes it as "partial 16S ribosomal RNA". It matches the Rfam family "Bacterial small subunit ribosomal RNA", at positions 28 to 507 of the family's 1533-position model. The record is from RNAcentral.
GAUGAACGCUGGCGGCGUGCCUAAUACAUGCAAGUCGAGCGAACGGACGAGAAGCUUGCUUUUCUGAUGUUAGCGGCUGACGUGUGAGUAACACGUGGAUAACCUACCUAUAAGACUGGGAUAACUUCGGGAAACCGGAGCUAAUACCGGAUAAUAUUUUGAACCGCAUGGUUCAAAAGUGAAAGACGGUCUUGCUGUCACUUAUAGAUGGAUCCGCGCUGCAUUAGCUAGUUGGUAAGGUAACGGCUUACCAAGGCAACGAUGCAUAUCCGACCUGAGAGGGUGAUCGGCCACACUGGAACGGAGACACGGUACAGAGUCCUACGGGAGGAAGCAGUAGGGAAUAUUACGCAAUGGGCGAAAGCAUGACGGAGCAACGCCGCGUGAGUGAUGAAGGUCUUCGGAUCGUAAAACUCUGUUAUUAGGGAAGAACAUAUGUGUAAGUAACUGUGCACAUCUUGACGGUACCUAAUCAGAAAGCCACGGCUAACUACGUG